Molecule: long non-coding RNA, 2209 nt
Organism: Anoplophora glabripennis (Asian longhorned beetle)
Lineage: Eukaryota; Metazoa; Arthropoda; Insecta; Coleoptera; Cerambycidae
Exons: 2
Source: RefSeq, a predicted model, not a curated record
GGUUUGGUAUCUGUCAGCAUGAAGCCAUCUUUACAUCUGUCAUUUGUAUGACAUUUUAACAUAUUGAUAUUUAAAAUUUUAUUUCGAAUGAUUAUUUGGCUAUUUGAAUUUUACACUCAUUGCUAUUUUUUAGAUGCACUAAAUUAAAAUUUGGAAUUUUAGCUUAUUUCUGAUACAUGUGACGUAGGUUUAUCCUUGUUUUUGACGACGUAUUCUGUGAUAAUAAAUUGUCAGGCACAAUAUUUUAUCAAGAAUUGGGGUUUAAUUUAAAUUUAAUUUCAUUAUAACAUUUACUUAUUCUUUAUUAUUCUAAUAAUUUAGUAAUCGCUCAUUAACUAAAAUAUCAUAUUGUAACAUUCACUAUCUGUACAGUGUGAAUGUCACUAUUUAUUUUAACUAUAAUGCAACAAUUAAACAGCUUCUUGAGAUCUUCAUACAAAAUUCAACUUUGUUAUCACUAUUAGUUAAUUUUGUUUCCACCUGUAUACUGCUGUAUUGUUGUUACAUCAUGUAAAUCUUUGCCAUGCCCUGCAAUUAGUUACAGAACACCAAUGUAAUAAACUAUGUGCAAUAAAUGUUUACUAUUUACCUGUUAUAAACAUGGAGAAUGAUGUUGUAUGAAUUGUAAUAGUUCUGUAAUUGUAUAAUUUUAACUGUACCGUUUUUUAUUUGUAUUAUUUCUUUUUAGUAUUGUUAUUUGUUAACCGAACUUGGAGCCACAACAAUUAGGUUACUUGGUUGUCAUACAUAGAAGGUUAUUGUACUUAGUUCUAUCACCAUCGACCCAAAGACACACAGAGUGGACUGGAUAGUUUGUGGUUGGACAUAGGCUAUGGUCAGUUGUAGAACCCGUUCAAUGGUGAUUAAAGAGCAGUUGCCCAGUCUGAAAUGUAUUUCGUUCAACCGACCAAUCACAUCGAAUGAGUUUUUUUUUAGAUUUGAAUCAAUAAAACGUUCGCCGGAGCGACUUAAAGCUUCUUUCAUUUUUGCUAAUGGCUCGCGUGUGAUUUAUAAUUAAACCGAUUAGUUUAACUUAGAUUAAUCACCAGUGAACGUCGAAGUACAUCAAAGGUAAUUAAUAAAAUAUUACAUUUCUAGUUUUUUCUAAAAUUCGAUCCAGUAGAUUUUAGCCUAGUUAACCAUUUGGAUUUUGCCCAUGUUUUUGUAUGACCUUCAAUGCUGUGCAACCACGUGCUAAUUGAAUUUUAUUUCUUCCGUUUUCUCUCACCAGAGUUUACCAGAAAAGUUAUAAAAGUUGAAUAGUAAAAAAUUUUAUAUAAAAGUUUUAAGAGAAGUUUUAUAAGUUUCAAAUUAGAAAAGUUGAACGUAGCUUGAAAAGUUUAACGUUGCUUGAAAAGUUUUGGAAGGCCUAAAAGGUUCUUUUUUUUUUUGAGAAAAGUCAGAUUUUUAAGUUCGUUAAAGUUUGACGAAUAUUGAUUAAAAUUUGUUGUAACUAGCCUUCUAGUUAUUGACGUAAAGUGAUAAUUUAGCGAAAACUCAGUAGCUAAGAAAUUACUAUAGUCGCUGCAAUUUUAAGUCACGCAAUUAAACUAACUUUAUGGUAAACCUAGAAGGGAUUAGGUCAACCUUGGGCUCCAUAUUUAAGUCUUCAGUCCAGGACAUCAGGACAUCUGUAGACCCUGUAUUUCGCCGAACAUCCCGUAAAAGCCAGAACCAGAGUUGGCACCCUUUUAACAUCUUUAUUGUCUCCCCAUAACAUUUUCCUCAAGCUGGCAAAUUUAUAUGUUGCAAUCACAAAAAUUAGAACCGACCCACUUCCCUCUGCCGCCGCUAUAAGAGCUGCCGUUCGCACUUUGUAGUUUGAACUCUUUUAAAAUAAACGUAUCAAAGUUAUUGACGCGAGAAUAUUAACAAUUCUCCUCAAUUCUCUUUGACAAUCUAAAGUUAUUUAAUACUUAUACCUACUCAAAUUUAUUUAUACAAUGCACUUUUAACUUUAACACAGUUUUACCUAAUAAUAUUAUUAUUGACUUGUUGCCACAUGGCUGUAGUAGGAUAAAAGAUUUUAUAUUAUCUAGCUUAAAAUUUCAUUGUGAUAAGUAUAUUAUUAAUAAAUAACGUUGCACUAGGCAGAAUGUAUAUGCCACAUAUCUUAUUAACAAUUUACCAUAAAAUGAUAAAUUGUUAACAAGAUAAGUUUGAUGUUUGCAUUUAUUUGUUUAAAUAAACUGGAAAAAAUAUUACUGAA